Molecule: long non-coding RNA, 232 nt
Filed under: Manihot esculenta (cassava)
Lineage: Eukaryota; Viridiplantae; Streptophyta; Magnoliopsida; Malpighiales; Euphorbiaceae
Description: long non-coding RNA (MESC_LNC006620)
Source: RNAcentral
CAUUACUGAGUGUUAGUCCUGCUAACUAAACCAUUUUAUGUCAAAGCCAUAAGGUGGGUAUCCGUUAGACAUAAAACCGGGUGUUAGUCCUGCUAACUAAGGCAUUUUAUGCUACAACCACAAGGCGGGUAUCCACAGACCCAUAAACCGAGUGUUAGUCCCGUUAACUAAGGCAUUUUAUGUCGCGGCCAUAAGGCGGGUACCCACCAGGCUCAUAAAUCGGGUAUUAGUC